UACGUAGGGAGCAAGCGUUGUCCGGAAUCAUUGGGCGUAAAGCGCGCGUAGGCGGCCCGGUCAGUCCGUCGUGAAAGUCAAAGGCUCAACCUUUGAAUGUCGAUGGAUACUGCCGGGCUAGAGUCCGGAAGAGGCGAGUGGAAUUCCUGGUGUAGCGGUGAAAUGCGUAGAUAUCAGGAGGAACACCUGCGGUGUAGACAGCUUUCUGGACCACUUCUGACGCUGAGGCACGAAAGCGUGGGUAGCAAACAGG
RNAcentral lists this ribosomal RNA (253 nucleotides) under uncultured bacterium. RNAcentral's name for it is "partial 16S ribosomal RNA". It matches the Rfam family "Bacterial small subunit ribosomal RNA", at positions 524 to 776 of the family's 1533-position model. The record is from RNAcentral.